GAUGAACGCUAGCGGCAGGCUUAAUACAUGCAAGUCGAGGGGCAGCAGCUCUGUAGCAAUACAGAGGCUGGCGACCGGCAAACGGGUGCGGAACACGUACGCAACUUACCCAUAACUGGUGAAUAGCCCUCCGAAAGGAGGAUUAAUACAUCGUAACAUAAUGAGAUGGCAUCAUUUUAUUAUUAUAGCUCUCGGGCGGUUAUGGAUGGGCGUGCGGCUGAUAGGUAGUUGGCGGAGUAAUAGCCCACCAAGCCAACGAUCAGUAACUGGUGUGAGAGCACGACCAGUCACACGGGCACUGAGACACGGGCCCGACUCCUACGGGAGGCAGCAGUAAGGAAUAUUGGUCAAUGGACGCAAGUCU
RNAcentral lists this ribosomal RNA (364 nucleotides) under uncultured bacterium. Its description in RNAcentral is "bacterial SSU rRNA". It matches the Rfam family "Bacterial small subunit ribosomal RNA", at positions 28 to 384 of the family's 1533-position model. The record is from RNAcentral.